AUUGCACGCUAGCGGGAUGCUUUACACAUGCAAGUCGAACGAGUGGCGGACUGGUGAGUAAUAUCUCGGAACGUGCCUAGCAGCGGGGGAUAACUAACCGACAGAGUGGCUAAUACCGCAUACUAUAGGAGUGGCUGAUAUCGGAUUAGCUAGUUGGUGGGGUAAAGGCUCACCAAGGCAACGAUCCGUAGCUGGUUUGAGAGGACGACCAGCCACACUGGGACUGAGACACGGCCCAGACUCCUACGGGAGGCAGCAGUGGGGAAUUUUGGACAAUGGGGGAAACCCUGAUCCAGCCAUCCCGCGUGUAUGAGAAGGCCUUCGGGUUGUAAAGUACUUUUGGCAGAGAAGCGGUAUCUGCAGAAUAAGCACCGGCGAACUACGUGCCAGCAGCCGCGGUAAUAC
This 405-nucleotide ribosomal RNA is filed under the name uncultured bacterium. RNAcentral's name for it is "partial 16S ribosomal RNA". It matches the Rfam family "Bacterial small subunit ribosomal RNA", at positions 30 to 526 of the family's 1533-position model. The record is from RNAcentral.